RNAcentral lists this small nucleolar RNA (110 nucleotides) under Helianthus annuus (common sunflower). RNAcentral describes it as "sRNA HanXRQr2_Chr01g0027821". It matches the Rfam family "Plant small nucleolar RNA R71". From Rfam's summary of the family: R71 is a member of the C/D box family of snoRNAs containing the C (UGAUGA) and D (CUGA) box motifs. Multiple nearly identical copies of this snoRNA have been identified in Arabidopsis, and it is thought to function as a 2'-O-ribose methylation guide for 18S ribosomal RNA. Lineage: Eukaryota; Viridiplantae; Streptophyta; Magnoliopsida; Asterales; Asteraceae. The record is from Rfam by way of RNAcentral.
AGACCAUGAUGAGGACAUUUCCUCAAUUGCUCCUUGAAUCUUUCCCAAGUUUCAUAUAAGGAAUCCCCGUCCUCUUGUGAAUAUGUAUUGAUUUCAGUCAUUUAGCGAUU